Molecule: ribosomal RNA, 563 nt
Filed under: uncultured archaeon
Lineage: Archaea
Description: bacterial SSU rRNA
Rfam family: Archaeal small subunit ribosomal RNA
Source: RNAcentral
UUCCGGUUGAUCCUGCCGGACCCCACUGCUAUCGAGGUGGGACUAAGCCAUGCUAGUUGAGCGCACAGAACUAUGUCUGUGAGCGGCACACUGCUCAGUAACACGUAGCUAACCUACCCUUAGGACGUGGACAACCCCGAGAAAUUGGGGCUAAUCCGCGAUAGAUGUAUUGUCCUGGAAUGGUAUUACGUCUAAAGGUAUCCCAUACAUGUUUGGUAUACGCCUAAGGAUGGGGCUGCGGCCGAUCAGGCUGUUGGUGAGGUAAUGGCUCACCAAACCUUUGACCGGUACGGGCCAUGAGAGUGGUUGCCCGGAGAUGGACACUGAGACAAGGGUCCAGGCCCUACGGGGCGCAGCAGGCGCGAAACCUCCUCAAUGCACUUACGUGCGAAGGGGCUACCUCGAGUGCCACCUGAUGAAGGUGGCUUUUCCUAGGUCUAAAAAGCCUUGGGAAUAAGAGGGGGGCAAGACUGGUGUCAGCCGCCGCGGUAACACCAGCCCCUCGAGUGGUGGGGAUGAUUAUUUGGCCUAAAGCGUCCGUAGCCUGCCGGGUAAGUUUCCCG